GAUGAACGCUGGCGGCGUGCCUAAUACUUGCGAGUCGAGCGAACGGACGAGAAGCUUGCUUUUCUGAUGUUAGCGGCGGACGGGUGAGUAACACGUGGAUAACCUACCUAUAAGACUGGGAUAACUUCGGGAAACCGGAGCUAAUACCGGAUAAUAUUUUGAACCGCAUGGUUCAAAAGUGAAAGACGGUCUUGCUGUCACUUAUAGAUGGAUCCGCGCUGCAUUAGCUAGUUGGUAAGGUAACGGCUUACCAAGGCAACGAUGCAUAGCCGACCUGAGAGGGUGAUCGGCCACACUGGAACUGAGACACGGUCCAGACUCCUACGGGAGGCAGCAGUAGGGAAUCUUCCGCAAUGGGCGAAAGCCUGACGGAGCAACGCCGCGUGAGUGAUGAAGGUCUUCGGAUCCUAAAACUCUGUUAUUAGGGAAGAACAUAUGUGUAAGUAACUGUGCACAUCUUGACGGUACCUAAUCAGAAAGCCACGGCUAACUACGUG
This 497-nucleotide ribosomal RNA is filed under the name uncultured bacterium. RNAcentral's name for it is "partial 16S ribosomal RNA". It matches the Rfam family "Bacterial small subunit ribosomal RNA", at positions 28 to 507 of the family's 1533-position model. The record is from RNAcentral.